This 481-nucleotide ribosomal RNA is filed under the name uncultured bacterium. RNAcentral describes it as "bacterial SSU rRNA". It matches the Rfam family "Bacterial small subunit ribosomal RNA", at positions 21 to 507 of the family's 1533-position model. The record is from RNAcentral.
GGCUCAGGAUGAACGCUAGCGGCAGGCUUAACACAUGCAAGUCGAGGGGUAUUGUUUCGGACCAAGAGACCGGCGCACGGGUGCGUAACGCGUAUGCAAUCUACCUUUUACAGAGGGAUAGCCCAGAGAAAUUUGGAUUAAUACCUCAUAGUAUAGCAGUUUCGCAUGAAACCACUAUUAAAGUCACAACGGCAAAAGAUGAGCAUGCGUCCCAUUAGCUAGUUGGUAAGGUAACGGCUUACCAAGGCUACGAUGGGUAGGGGUCCUGAGAGGGAGAUCCCCCACACUGGUACUGAGACACGGACCAGACUCCUACGGGAGGCAGCAGUGAGGAAUAUUGGACAAUGGGCGCAAGCCUGAUCCAGCCAUGCCGCGUGCAGGAUGACGGUCCUAUGGAUUGUAACUGCUUUGUACAGGAAGAAACACUCCCUCGUGAGGGAGCUUGACGGUACUGUAAGAAUAAGGAUCGGCUAACUCCGUG